RNAcentral lists this ribosomal RNA (253 nucleotides) under uncultured bacterium. RNAcentral's name for it is "partial 16S ribosomal RNA". It matches the Rfam family "Bacterial small subunit ribosomal RNA", at positions 524 to 776 of the family's 1533-position model. The record is from RNAcentral.
UACGGGGGGGGCAAGCGUUGUUCGGAAUUACUGGGCGUAAAGGGCUCGUAGGCGGCCAACUAAGUCAGACGUGAAAUCCCUCGGCUUAACCGGGGAACUGCGUCUGAUACUGGAUGGCUUGAGUUUGGGAGAGGGAUGCGGAAUUCCAGGUGUAGCGGUGAAAUGCGUAGAGAUCCGGAAGAAUACCGGUGGCGAAGGCGGCCUGCUGGGCAGUGGCUGACACUGAGGCGCGACAGCGUGGGGAGCAAACAGG